RNAcentral lists this ribosomal RNA (458 nucleotides) under uncultured bacterium. Its description in RNAcentral is "partial 16S ribosomal RNA". It matches the Rfam family "Bacterial small subunit ribosomal RNA", at positions 338 to 795 of the family's 1533-position model. The record is from RNAcentral.
CCUACGGGAGGCAGCAGUGGGGAAUAUUGCACAAUGGGGGAAACCCUGAUGCCGCGACGCCGCGUGAGUGAAGAAGCGUUUCGGCGAGUAAAGCUCUGUCAGCGGGGCAGAAAAACGGUUCGCGAGAGCCGCGGACGGUACCCGACCACGAAGACCCGGCGAACUACGUGCCAGCAGCCGCGGUAAUACGUCGGGGGCAAGCGUUAUCCGGAUUCACUGGGUGGAAAGUGAGCGUAGACGGCGAGAAAAGUCUGGAGUGAACGGCCGGGGCCCAACCCCGGGACUGCUCUGGAAACUGGCUGGCUUGAGUACAGGAGAGGUAAGUGGAAUUCCUAGUGUAGCGGUGAAAUGCGUAGAUAUUAGGAGGAACACCAGUGGCGAAGGCGGCUUACUGGACUGUAACUGACGUUGAGGCUCGAAAGCGUGGGGAGCAAACAGGAUUAGAUACCCCAGUAGUC